This is a long non-coding RNA of Rhinolophus ferrumequinum (greater horseshoe bat), 2984 nucleotides long. RefSeq lists it as uncharacterized. The transcript is spliced from 3 exons. The record is from RefSeq and is a predicted model, not a curated record. NCBI's taxonomy places the organism in Eukaryota, Metazoa, Chordata, Mammalia, Chiroptera, Rhinolophidae.
GCUCUGAUCACGGGGAAGGAACAGUUCUCAUCCCAGUCAGGAUAGCUGUCACCAAAAGAGCGUGAAAAGGACAGAAUGCUAGCAGACCAGUGUGUGUGCUGCCUGUCCCCAGUUGGGCUCCCCCUAAAGGAAUGGGUAGUUACAGCGCAGGAAAAGUCCCCCUCAGACGGUCCACACAAACCUUUUCCAUUGGGCCUAGGAGGACUCCCUGUACCAAACGAGAAUUCCAUGUGGGAAGGAAACGAAGAAGGCCUGGCUGUGCUGUAACUAAAACCAAGGGACUCCUCGUUUCCAGUGGACUGCGGCCAGCUGCACUCGCAUGACAGGCAGGAGAUAGCCAGGACCCCAGGCCUCACCACCCCGGUCCAUUGGGCAAGGAACAGCAGACAGUCUGGCGAGCAGAGAUAGAAUCAGACAUACUCCAAUCUGUCAACCAUGACGAAUUCUGUGGGGGUGACAUCAGCAAGGAUUUGGAGAGAGUGUUAUGCAGAAGUGGAUCUAGCCAAUCCUUUAUCAUUGAAAUCCUGGUUGAGACAAGAAAAGACUUUCACAAUCUUGUCCUAGGGAUAAAGCUCCAGCCGCAAGGAGGCCAGCCCUGACUCCCCUGUCUAAAUAAGGUCCUCCCAUCCAUUGCUAACAAAGCACCCUAUGUUUUGUUUCCUUCAUAAUAUUUCCCUUUACCCAAAAUGAUCUUGUUUAUUAUUUGCUUUUGCUGGUUUACUUCCCAUCUCGCUCCCACCCACCGCCUAACAUGUCAGGAAUGCAGGAGGCAAAUAUAGGAGACGCGGGCAGUGCCUCGCUCCUGGCCCUGGUACUCACCAUUCCAGUGCGUGGUCCCUGGGUGCUCAGCUGCAGGCAUCUGUGACCUGUGCUUGAGGGUUUUCACUGGCCACAGGAGCACGCUGGGCCCAUGCCAGGCACAGGGGAAGUACGAGGGCGUUAGCACCUGCCCCUGCUCCACGGAGGACCGAUGGGAGUUGGUAUGUAUGUAUCCCAGCUCCCUCAUACUCAGCUGGGAAAACUCGGGAGCAUCUUCUAUGCUGGCUCCCAGCGUUCUCCAGCAAGAUUGCAGCUAGUUUCCCAUAACGGUGACCUGUCCAUAAAGCAGCCUUCACUGGCUUCCUUCCCUUUCCUGGCUCACUCCCCCAUCCGUCUACCAGUGCUAUCUGAGAUCACCUCUCAGAUAAAGUAUUUGCACUUACAUUCUUAUCACAGCCUCUGAGGAACCCAGCCAAGGACACCUCUGUAUGUCUCACCCCCCGUGCUUAGAACAGGGUCUGGAACCCAGUAGGUGCUCAGUAAAUAUUUGUUGAAAAAAAUGACUUAGUCUCUCUUCCUCUGACCUCCACUCACCCUUUGGGAAAUUCCAGUCUGAUUAUCGUAUAACACAGCCAUGGGCCGUUCUCAGUUUUGAAAGCAUCUGGAGCCUGUGCGAAUUUUUAUCAGGAUUGUUUGAACACAAUUAUUUCUGGCAAGCCAUCUUCUCACCCCUUCUACCUUCCAUGCUAUCUCCCCUGGAGUGGGAUAAGAGGAGAGGGCUUCCGUUUCAGGAGAAAGAACACUGGACGCAUGCCUGGCAGAGGCAUAUUCUACCAGGGCCUUGGAAAGACCUGAGUUCUCGGGUUCCUACCCUAUAGAAGCUUCUGUCGCUCCCCCAGCCCCCACGCCUCACACAGAAGCACCAGGCUGAUCAUGGUCCUUCAGAUCCAGGCCCCUGCCAAGCUGUCUUUUUAAAGUUUUAUUAAGAAUUUGUAUGCCAUAAAAUUCAACCAUCUAAAGUACAGAGUCCACUGGGUUUUUAGUAUAUUCCCAAAGUUGUACAACCAUCACCACAAUCAUUGCCCGUUAGCAGAAAGAAACUUCACACCCAUUAGCAGUCAUUCCCUAUUUCUAUGGUUUUCUCUGGCAGUGUGUAGUUUUGGCUCUUAUAUUUAAGUUGGUCCAUUUUUAUGUAACUUCUGCAUAUUGGUAUAAAUUAGAGAUCUAAAUUCAUUAUUCUACAUGUGGAUGUCUUGUUGUCCCUGCAUCAUUUCUUAAAAAGAUGAUUCUCUCUCUCACUGAAUGGUCUUGGAACCCUUGCCAAAAAUCAAUUGGCCAUAAAUGAGAGUGUAUUUCUAGACUAUCAAUUCUAUUCCAUUGCUCUGUGUAUCUCUCAUGCCCAAACCACACUGUCUUCAUUAGUGUAAGUCCUCCAAAUUUGUUGGUUUUUUUCAAGAUAGCUUUGGCUCUUUGAGGUCCCUUAAAUUUCAUCGAGUUAUGAAAUAUUACUUUGCCUCCCGUGUUUGAGGCUUUGUCCUGUGUACACAUCUCCUUCAGGGACCUUAUGAUUUCAGGGUGACUGAAUACCAGCAAUUUCCCAGCCGAUAGCACCCCAACUUCAUCUUUAUAAUGAAGGGUAGCAGAAUAUGCCCCACUGAAAUAGACCACUUUCGCGUAAGGAUUAUUUUGAGCUGAAGACAAUUGAGAAGAAGCAGAUACAAGAAAAGCUCUCUGCCCUGCCCCAAUUUGCCUACAUGCAGGACAUUACAAAGGUGUCUCCCCUCUGUACUGAGAGGAUGCGCGAUAACUAGGCCCUUAUCAGCCUGGAGACAGCACCAGAGGAAUCUACGACUAAACCUUACUAACCAGACUUUGCCCCUUUGGUUUCCACGUUUGCCUUCCCACAGUUUCCUGCCCCUAGAAGCUCAAACUCCUUUCCCUUUUUCUUCUCACUUCUCUACGACAUCAUUGUUCUUUCGAUAUGCUUCAUGGGUCCGAGUUCUAACCACCCUUUUGCGUUCCUUGUCACUAUGCACUCCCAGUGUAUGCACGGUACACAUGUUAAUAAACUUCUGUGUGUGGUUCUCUUGUGAAUCCGUCUUCUGUCAGUCUAACUUAUGGGGUCCCAGAGGAGAACCAACGAGAGUAGAGGAAAGAAGUUGUUUUCCUCCCGGACAAUACCAGUAUCUUAAACUGUGUCACCCGACAGUCACCCACUCUGGCUC